This is a long non-coding RNA of Musa acuminata AAA Group (dessert banana), 4034 nucleotides long. RefSeq lists it as uncharacterized. NCBI's taxonomy places the organism in Eukaryota, Viridiplantae, Streptophyta, Magnoliopsida, Zingiberales, Musaceae. The record is from RefSeq and is a predicted model, not a curated record. The transcript has 3 exons.
UCAUGUAUUCGGGUGCGUGUCGCUGAAUUCUUCUUAGUUUAACAUCGUAAGAGGGAUCCAAAACCCUUCUUUUUUGUGUUUGUGAUUUCGUGAGAUCUCUUCGAGCCUUCUCCGCUGGCCGUCAGCGGAUGCUCCGCCGAUUGCACAGGGUGGGGCCGCGCAGGUUCACUGGGACGUGAUCCACCCCGUGACGAGAUGUCGCGGUGAAGGGGCAUUCGACCCAUUCGAAUCGUUCGUCUUUCCGGGUUAAGGUUGGGUCCAUUGGCGCUCUUAGGAUAUCACAUUGGCAGGCAUCUCAAACAAGGAAUUCAUCUUUUUGGACAAGCUACUGUAAGUGUUAUACAGAUAAUUGAGAACACAUGGUUCCCUAUAUGAAUGCUGUCCUUUAGGUUAUUACGAGAAGCUCAAUGCAAGAGGAAGUCAUGAAACCAAUUAAAAGGUCUGGAGACAUGAACUUCAUUUUAACAUCUCUUUGUGCACCUAUUGUUUCUUAUAACAAGGAACUUCUUAAGCUUUCCAUUAUCUUGAGGUUUUCAGCAAAGUCUCUAUCCUCUAAUUGAAAGUUGACUGAUUCUUUGUCAUCCAAAGCAUUUGAACUUUCAGUUCCUAGAGUUUCUUAUCAUCACAACCUCAUUGCUGCACAUCCAUAUUGUUGUGGUGUGUCUUCUUGAUUAACUUGUGCUCAAGUCAUUGAUGUCAAUGUUUUUACCACUGGCUUGCUCAGUUUCUGCAAGAAUGUUACACAGUUGCGGAACUAAUUUACAAGAGUAAAUGGUGCCAACGAGCUGUUCGUUAGGAAGCUUUAGCCAAGAUUCCUAUCAAACUUCUCAACUAUUUGUUUCCUACCUUUGAUUUUUCAACCUCUCGUCUUGACCUUGGAUACAUUUCAGAACAUUAUUCUUUUCAGGUUAUUGUUGAAGAUUUGAAUUUUGUCAAACCAUAUAGAGAUUCAUCAUAAGUCCAUGGAGCCUAAGAGUUCAAUAAUUGGAAAAAAAAAUCAAAAACUCCCAUUUUCAGUAAGGUUUUUAACUUGAUAUUUAAACUUAGCUAGUGUUUUGCAGCAUUAGUUUGAAUCAUAAUUCCCCCUGUUUCUGGUGCAUUUGAACGGGGAAGAAUUCUCAUAGUAUCUUGAUUAAUAACCAUUACGUUGAUGCAUUUUUUAUUAGUCUCUCCUGCUUGAGUAGAUGCAGUGGACAAUGAAGAGGACUACAGAGACCACCUCACUUGUGGCAGGUAUUCUUUGCAAAUCCUUACCUUACGAAUGGCAAGGUUAAUAAGCAAGGGAAGCUACAUUCAGAUUUACAGAUUUUCAGACGCAAGAAUCCCCACGAGUUCCUGUGACUGAGGCCGGAUGACCCUCCUUUGAUAAGAAGGCAGCUGCUACUGUAUGAUUGGAGUAUGAUGAUAUUUGGAUCAGUCUAGGUUGUCACUCAAAGGUGCAUGAAUGAAAAAUGAAGGCUCUCUUGUGAAGUUGCUACUAUCAAGUGAAUGAUUGAUUAAGGAACUCAUUUAGGGUCGAACUGAAGAUUGUGAUUGCUGAUGUUCCUAAUACAAUAGAAGGGUUUUGAUCACCUUGCUGAAGUCCAAGAUAGUAUUGGAAGCAUUAACAAGGACCAAGUGUUGAAGGCUCAUGAAAGUGAAAUUAUUAAAGAAAAUGAGAGGUUCUUUGCCUUAAUUACUGAUAAUAUAGAAGGAGGUAUCUUCUGAAAUGUAAUCAUCUCAUUUCUCAGUACCAUGUGGCUACAAGCAAAAGGUGGAGUGAACAAAGUGGACAUAUCAGCUAAUGUAGUGCUUUCCUUUGGUUGAAUAGCAUACUUCUGGGGAUAAUUAUAGAGAAUCUGGAGUUCAGCAAUUACUAAAGAUGACACAUAGGUUUAAACUUGGUCUGAUCAGAGAUGAUGUGCAACAUCAGCUUUAUGCGAACCCCAUGCAACCAUGUCUUGUGUGGUGAAAUUAGAAAGUACCAGAAGUAGCAUUGAUUCUGCAGAACUUCUGCACUGGCUAGCGGAUGAAAUAAUCCACUAUUGGUACUGCUCAUAGAGACAGGCCUUCAGAAUUUUUACCAGAUGGUGAAUGAAAUAAUCCUGUAAAUAUUAUGUAAAGCAUACUGUUGUUGGGGAUCUUGAUGACAUCUGCUAGACAUUGGAUGCCACCUAAGUUCUUGCAGUUAUAAUUAUCAUGAAUUAAUGGGUUCCCAAGAUAUUUUAGUUGCUGAAGUUCCAUGGUUAGUUGGAAUUGAACAUUUUAUAUCAUCAACUGCUGUAUCAUUUGACCUGAAACUACCAUAAGCUGGCUAAGCUAGUAAAUUGACUGCAUAAAGUUACAUGCUGAGGGUGGCAAUGCAAGUGUCAGUAGCAUUGUGGUAAUAUUGAACUUUUGCUGUCUUUUCUCAUUCCUCUAAAGAAAUGUACAUGGGCAAAAAAUUCUCAUUUUUCCCUUUCAAUUGUUCACCUUGAGUGAUGUGAACUAGGAUCUUUGUUGCAAAACUGUGACAGAACAAAUGAGGUGGCCUUCAACCUUGCAAAGGAGAAUGCAAUGGUGGGAAUGGUAUGUCUUUAAUUCAUCAGUAUCAAUAGACUACCCCACAGUGAGCUGCAUGUAGGCUCAUUCCUGGCAACCUUCCAAAACACUAUUCAGAUGCAUCUAAAGUGGAUACUGGAUGCUUUUGUAAGGUAGCCACUGAGUUUGUUCCCAAUGUGUAUUGUGUUAGCUUCAAUUUGUUCAACAUACUGAGAGAAAAACUCAGAAGUGUGAGGCCAACAUAUAAUCAUAGCAAAUAUUCUCAUCUUAUUAUGGUUUUCACUGUUUUAUUCUUCUAGUUCCCAUGGAAUUUUGACUAGAACAGCAAUGUACUUGGAGCAAUUCACAUGGGCCAUGUAGUUUAUAUGUGAUACUUGAUUCCAUAAUCUUCUUGUACCUUCUCCAUUGCCAGAGUGCCAGAGAAGUGAAAAUAGCUUUAAAAUUUCAAAGAUAUGUAGAUAUGGAAUGAUAUAGUCAAACAUGUCAUAAACUCAAUAAAUCUAAUAAGAACUGCAGCAAAUUCCAUACUCGGGUACUAAUUCAGAUGAUAAAAUUCAGGUAAAGUCCAUAAGCUUCACUGGUUCAUGAUCUCUUCAGAUUGUCUUCUCAUCUACUGCAUAACCUACCAGAGAAUCUCAUCAGAUAGCAAGAACAAGAAGAUGUCAUACUUGAACUCACCAUGCUGUUCAAUCUGUAAGAGAAAAACCUUAUCACUGGGGAAGUGAUACUCUACUUGAUGAUCAAACAGUGCCAAAACAGAUCACAAAAUUUAGCAAGGAAAAUUAAGGAAGAGGAGGAAGAUAUGAGGGGAGAGCAUCAAGACUCCUCUGUCAGCACAACUUGCACCUUCUUUAUCCCUAUAGAACACAGUUACCAUUACUCCAACCUCAUCAGUUACCAUUCAGCAAAAUUUUUGUUCCCUCUAUACAUCGAUCUCCACUUGUCGGUCUCUUCAUCGAGUACAUAAAAGCCUCACUUUAAUCUACAUCAUUUCCAGCUAUAGCUCUCUGAUUUGCCAUCAUCCUCCAAGCUCUCUCCCGCAGUCACUGACAAUGCAAGUGCAGAGCCAGCUAACUGAAGCGGGCUUUGCGGAGAAUUGGAUUGUGAAACACUCUGCUGUGAGGAGCAAGUGUGUUGAUCUUGUGGAAUAGCUGAAGCAUUAGACAUUCUUCGAGUGUGCAACCGGUAUUUCUGAAACAGCAGGGCCAGAACAUUGAGCAAACCGUGAAAACUGAGAUCAACAAGCAAGCGAUAUACCUGCAGAUGGCUUUUCACUUCAUCGUUUGUGAGCCCAUCCACCUUCAUCCGGUCUCGUAUCUGCUUGGGGGUGGCCACUGCAUCAACGAGUACAAGAGUCAAAUCCAAGUGAGAAGAAGAAGAAGAAGAAGAAAUGACAAACAUCGUCUUCUCACCUUGAACACCGCCGAGCUGUUGGAUGGCGCGCAUGAACCGACGAUGUAGCUCCUGCGACCAGCAUCUCCUCGCCUUUCUUGGUGGCUGCUGCUGCAGCGACU